RNAcentral lists this ribosomal RNA (341 nucleotides) under Nematoda environmental sample. Its description in RNAcentral is "SSU rRNA". It matches the Rfam family "Eukaryotic small subunit ribosomal RNA", at positions 1300 to 1665 of the family's 1831-position model. Lineage: Eukaryota; Metazoa; Nematoda. The record is from RNAcentral.
CGUGGAUCGAUUUGUCUGGUUUAUUCCGAUAACGAGCGAGACUCUAGCCUACUAAAUAGUAACGGAAUUACUAUAGUUCCAGUUGCUUCUUAGAGGGAUUUUCGGUGUUUAGCCGCACGAGAUUGAGCAAUAACAGGUCUGUGAUGCCCUUAGAUGUCCGGGGCUGCACGCGCGCUACACUGGCGAAAUCAGCGUGCUGUAUCCUAUCUCGAAAGGGAUGGGUAAACCCAUGAAAAUUUGCCGUGCUUGGGAUCGGAAAUUGCAAUUAUUUUCCGUGAACGAGGAAUUCCAAGUAAGUGCGAGUCAUCAACUCGCUCUGAAUACGUCCCUGCCCUUUGUAC